AAGUCGAACGGAUUAGUUGGGAGCUUGCUCCCGGCUAAGUGAGUGGCGGACGGGUGAGUAACGCGUGAACAAUCUGUCUCAUGCAGGGGGACUAGCGCAUCGAAAGAUGUGCUAAUACCGCGUAGGACCACGGAAUCGCAUGGUUCUGAGGUGAAAGGAGCAAUCCGGUAUGAGGUGAGUUCGCGUCUGAUUAGAUAGUUGGUGAGGUAACGGCCCACCAAGUCAACGAUCAGUAGCCGACCUGAGAGGGUGAUCGGCCACAUUGGGACUGAGACACGGCCCAGACUCCUACGGGAGGCAGCAGUGGGGAAUAUUGGGCAAUGGGCGGAAGCCCUGACCCAGCAACGCCGCGUGAAGGAAGAAGGUUUUCGGAUCGUAAACUUCUGUCCUAUGAGAAGAUAAUGACGGUAUCAUAGGAGGAAGCCCCGGCUAACUACGUGCCAGCCGCCGC
Molecule: ribosomal RNA, 451 nt
Filed under: uncultured bacterium
Lineage: Bacteria
Description: bacterial SSU rRNA
Rfam family: Bacterial small subunit ribosomal RNA
Source: RNAcentral